GCCUAGUGUUUCACCUAUCGCUGUGCCAGAGCAGAGUCCCACUGUAGCCCCUUCCUUCCUCCAGUCACCGCCGGGAUGACUCAAGUCCUAUCACGGGCACCAGCUCACCCGGCUGUACCCUUGAAUCAUCUUUUCUUGUCGUGGGCCCUGCUGGUGUUGCAGACAAAGUGUCAUGGAGCCUUGUCUGGAUGUUUCCUUCUCCCUGUGGUAGCUUGGUCAGUUCUCAGUUGCCAUCACCCGUGUAUGGUCUAAUCUUCUCUCUGAAGUUAGUUAAGAGGAACACAAAAUACCUGCCAGCACUCUCCUUUAAAUAAAAAUAUAUCGGGUGACAGAAGCAUUACUUUAUAUUAACAUACUGUAGAAGAAGGAAUACAAUGUUAAAAUUAUUUGUUAUGUAUAUAACCAAACACGGGAGGAGGAUACGGAACCAAACCACAGAAUUGGAAACACCACUCUUUAUCUUUUCAGAGCAAAGUAUACUGCUUUAAGAAAAACUCAAGGGGACUUCUUUUUUGUUAUA
Molecule: long non-coding RNA, 520 nt
Organism: Pezoporus occidentalis (night parrot)
Lineage: Eukaryota; Metazoa; Chordata; Aves; Psittaciformes; Psittacidae
Exons: 3
Source: RefSeq, a predicted model, not a curated record